Molecule: ribosomal RNA, 658 nt
Filed under: Scolecobasidium gamsii
Lineage: Eukaryota; Fungi; Ascomycota; Dothideomycetes; Venturiales; Sympoventuriaceae
Description: LSU rRNA
Rfam family: Eukaryotic large subunit ribosomal RNA
Source: RNAcentral
UUUGGCCUCGGAUCAGGUGGGGAUACCCGCUGAACUUAAGCAUAUCAAUAAGCGGAGGAAAAGAAACCAACCGGGAUUGCCCUAGUAACGGCGAGUGAAGCGGCAACAGCUAAAAUUUGAAAUCUGGGGUCGAUUGCGGCCUCCGAGUUGUAGUUUGCAGAGGGAGCCUCGGAGGGCUGAGCGGUCCAAGUGCCUUGGAACAGGAUACCUAAGAGGGUGAGAGUCCCGUAUCUGGCCGGAUCAGCGCUCCGUGUGAGGCCUCUUCGACGAGUCGAGUUGUUUGGGAAUGCAGCUCCAAGCGGGUGGUAAAUUCCAUCUAAAGCUAAAUACUGGCCAGAGACCGAUAGCGAACAAGUAGAGUGAUCGAAAGAUGAAAAGCACUUUGAAAAGAGAGUCAAACAGUACGUGAAAUUGUUGAAAGGGAAGCGCAUGGGGGCAGACUUGGCCGCGGGGUUCAGGGUGUCAUUUUUGGCGCCUGUACUUCCUCGCGGACAGGCCAGCAUCGGUUCUGGGGGCCGGACAAAGGCGGCGGGAACGUGGCUCUCCUCGGAGAGUGUUAUAGCCCGCCGUGCAAUGCGGCCACCUGGGACCGAGGACCGCGCCUUGUGCAAGGAUGCUGGCGUAAUGGCCUCAUGCGGCCCGUCUUGAAACACGGACC